Hyaena hyaena (striped hyena) is the source of this 468-nucleotide long non-coding RNA. RefSeq lists it as uncharacterized. The transcript is spliced from 2 exons. Lineage: Eukaryota; Metazoa; Chordata; Mammalia; Carnivora; Hyaenidae. The record is from RefSeq and is a predicted model, not a curated record.
AGGUUGGAAAUGCAGUCAUAGAGAAGAGGAAAAGAUAAGGAAGUUGAUGUCUAAUUUAAGGAGCCACCUACACCAACAACGUGAUACCAUCCACAUUCGUCGCCUGUUAUGUCCAGACCCCAACUGUGAGGUGUGUAAUAACACCACUGCUGAGAUCAAUCGGCUGCUGUACCCAGAGGCCCUAGAAGAUGCUACUUCCUUGAUUUCCACAGCUUCUGUGACUGAGCAUUAUUCACCUUGUCCCAAGCCUUCUCAACAAUCCCUCCAGAAGACCUAGUAUCAGCCUCUCUGCCUGAGCCUUCCCUACCACCGGCCUCUACCCUCCUACCUAACCCAGUGACCCCCUUGGCAGCCUUUUCCUCCCUUCAAUUUCAAAUUCCCAGUGGACCAUUUCCCACCCCAAUCCUUUGCCUCUUCCCCUCUCCCACCAUAUGAUGUUCAGACAGUAGACCCUGUUGCCCAACCAGA